RNAcentral lists this ribosomal RNA (1303 nucleotides) under metagenome. Its description in RNAcentral is "bacterial LSU rRNA". It matches the Rfam family "Bacterial large subunit ribosomal RNA", at positions 1633 to 2925 of the family's 2925-position model. The record is from RNAcentral.
CCUACACGACCGUACCGCAAACCGACACUGGUGCGCGAGAUGAGUAUUCUAAGGCGCUUGAGAGAACUCAGGAGAAGGAACUCGGCAAAUUGACACCGUAACUUCGGAAGAAGGUGUGCCUUUAGUAGGUGAAGUCCCUCGCGGAUGGAGCCCAAUGAGGUUGCAAAAAAUCGGUGGCUGCGACUGUUUAUUAAAAACACAGCACUCUGCAAACACGAAAGUGGACGUAUAGGGUGUGACGCCUGCCCGGUGCUGGAAGAUUAAAUGAUGGGGUGCAAGCUCUUGAUUGAAGUCCCAGUAAACGGCGGCCGUAACAAUAACGGUCCUAAGGUAGCGAAAUUCCUUGUCGGGUAAGUUCCGACCUGCACGAAUGGCGUAACGAUGGCCACACUGUCUCCUCCUGAGACUCAGCGAAGUUGAAAUGUUUGUGAUGAUGCAAUCUCCCCGCGGAAAGACGGAAAGACCCCAUGAACCUUUACUGUAGCUUUGUAUUGGACUUUGAACAGAUCUGUGUAGGAUAGGUGGGAGGCUUUGAAGCAGGGUCGCUAGAUCUUGUGGAGCCAACGUUGAAAUACCACCCUGGUGUGUUUGAGGUUCUAACCUAGGCCCGUAAUCCGGGUUGGGGACAGUGCAUGGUAGGCAGUUUGACUGGGGCGGUCUCCUCCCAAAGUGUAACGGAGGAGUUCGAAGGUACGCUAGUUACGGUCGGACAUCGUGACGAUAGUGCAAUGGCAUAAGCGUGCUUAACUGCGAGACUGACAAGUCGAGCAGAUGCGAAAGCAGGACAUAGUGAUCCGGUGGUUCUGUAUGGAAGGGCCAUCGCUCAACGGAUAAAAGGUACUCUGGGGAUAACAGGCUGAUACCGCCCAAGAGUUCAUAUCGACGGCGGUGUUUGGCACCUCGAUGUCGGCUCAUCUCAUCCUGGGGCUGUAGCCGGUCCCAAGGGUAUGGCUGUUCGCCAUUUAAAGAGGUACGUGAGCUGGGUUUAAAACGUCGUGAGACAGUUUGGUCCCUAUCUUCCGUGGGCGCUGCAGAUUUGAGGAAGCCUGCUCCUAGUACGAGAGGACCGGAGUGGACGCACCUCUGGUGUAUCGGUUGUCACGCCAGUGGCAUUGCCGAGUAGCUAUGUGCGGAAGAGAUAACCGCUGAAAGCAUCUAAGCGGGAAACUCGUUUCAAGAUGAGAUCUGCCGGGGCCUUGAGCCCCCUGAAGAGUCGUUCAAGACCAGGACGUUGAUAGGUCGGGUGUGGAAGCGCAGUAAUGCGUUAAGCUAACCGAUACUAAUUGCUCGUGCGGCUUGACCU